CUUUAUUGGGGUUGCGGACAUAUCAUAACGAAGAGGUAUCAUAAUUGAAGAGGUUUGGAAAGACCCACCACAGAAGGUAAUAGUCCUGUAUGUUAAACGAGAAGACUUCAGAUAUGAUCCAGAGUACUACGGGACACGUGAAACCCUGUGGGAAGCAGGAGGGACCACCCUCCAAGGCUAAAUACUACCUAGUGACCGAUAGCGUAUAGUACCGUGAGGGAAAGGUGAAAAGAACC
This 236-nucleotide ribosomal RNA is filed under the name Clostridioides difficile. Its description in RNAcentral is "partial 23S ribosomal RNA". It matches the Rfam family "Bacterial large subunit ribosomal RNA", at positions 287 to 525 of the family's 2925-position model. Lineage: Bacteria; Bacillati; Bacillota; Clostridia; Peptostreptococcales; Peptostreptococcaceae. The record is from RNAcentral.